This 4240-nucleotide long non-coding RNA is filed under the name Mytilus galloprovincialis (Mediterranean mussel). Lineage: Eukaryota; Metazoa; Mollusca; Bivalvia; Mytilida; Mytilidae. The record is from RNAcentral.
CAUCAAUCCCCAACUGUCAAAAUUUAACUGGAAUGGCCCAUUGUAGAUUUUGACGUUCGUGAUCAUGUAUAGAACACAAAAUGACAAAAAAAAAAUAAAAAUAAAAAUUUCAUAAAACUUGUAUAGCGUAUGAAUAUUAAAUACCAGCGAAAGAAUUAUAGUCCGGCCGAUUGGUGCAGAUAUAGAGCAGAAUUGCUCACUUGAUGAGGAAAGCAUGAAACUUUGCAUAGUAGUUCUUGGUUAUAUAUCCUUUGAUUUCAGCUAUGGACCCACUCUGAAAAAUCCAAUAUGGCUGCAAUUUUCAAGAUGGCGGAAAAACGGUAUAAAAUUCAAGAUUGUCCUAAAAGUAUUCUAUAUAAUUUCGGAAAAAGUAAUGAUUCUUUAAAAAUGGACUUCAUGUUCUUGAAUUUGUUAUCAAUUAAUUCAAAAGUAUAAAACAAAUAAUUUGGGUAUUUCUAUAACACAUAAGUUGCAAAUAUAGCUGCAUAUACAAAAACAAAUAGUGAAAUUCAAAAUGUUAAUCAAUAUCAUAAUGUUACAUGUUAUUGUGAUUGUUCUUUAAACGCUUUCAGUUUUAAUGGUUGGAAUGAAAUAGGUUGAAACGAGUCGAUUGACGUUAAUAUAGGUCGGAUAAAUGUGAUGGAAUAGUAGGUAACUCAUCUGAACUUUGAGGUAGUGCCGAGGGCACCUUGUCUCGUGUCUCUUCAAUGCCACGUCUUACGUCACUGAUCGCGUUUGCAUCUGCCGUACCCACUACAUCGUCAAAUUAUUCUAUGUAAUCAAUAGGUGUACCUUUCUUCCGACGGAUUAGACGAUUGCUAUCAUUUAAAAUGGUUAAAGGGCAACUGUUUCCUUUUCCAACUACGUACGUAACCAAUUUGCAACAUUUCAGCGAGCAUGGUCCUAAAAUGCACUCCUGGUCAGCACUUUUAUCAGUCUUAAUGGUAACAGUCAUGUUUGAAUUUGGUGGAACUGUGAUGGUUCGUUUUAUGCAAACUAGCUGAGUUAAAAUCUCGUUUCCAUUAUUAACAAAUGACGCAUUUAUCUCUUUAUUGUUAAUGGUAAUUGUGGGACUACUCAGGUUUAUCACUGCGAUCAGUGUGUCCAAAAUAACUAGCCUAAGUAUAUCAUCGUCUGUUAAUGGCUCUUUGCACACAUCCCAUUGUAUGUUUACUCUAUUAAUGUCGAGAGUCGUUCCUUAUAAUCUUCUCAAUAACAAGCUGUUAACCUCACCACAUAGCGUUACGUUCUCCAAAUCUCAAUUUUCUACCGGAAUUAAUUUCUCAUUUACUAAUGUUAUCAUUGCAGCAGUGUCCACAAUCAUGCUCACAUUCUGGUCAUGUGUAGUACCUCGUACUACUAAGCUCUUUCAAAUGGUUCGUCUGAUGACAAUAUUGGACGAGGCAGUGGGCCUCUGUUCGAUUGUGUGAUAAGAUGAUGUUUCAUUGCCAAUAAACUUUGGAAUCUGAGUUGUCCUACUGGCCCGACCCUUUGCUCCAUUGUUGAGGUUACACUUUCAUUUGCUCCGUAUCCUGGUGAAGGUGACCGUUGUUUGAAAUAUUCGGGAUUUCUGGAGUUUGUCCGUGGAGAUGCUAACCGUUGUCUUUAGGGACUAUAUGAUCUCUAGCUUAGUGGGGGUGUUACUGAUCGAUAGGCAUUAAGCUUGGAUGUACUUCUAUCUGCCGAUUUACCGCCAUUGUAUUGCUCAAUAGAUCUUCCACGUUUAUAUUGAUCAGGUGAUCUUCCAUUGAACUGGUGAUCUUCCAUGACUUUUUUAUCAGAAGAACCGAGAUUAUAUUGAUCGGCCAAUCCAGUGUGAGGUUAUGCACCUCAUAAUCCAAAGGACUGUUCAUAUUUUCUUUAACGGUGGUCGAUGGUCAUAAUUGGCACUUUUUUAUCCAUAUAUCGCCAUCUGGUUUGAUUUUGAGGUUUUUACGUGUUUUAACGCCUUGUUGAAUGUUUCUAGGUUCCUCUCUAUUACAUGCCUUGAAGAUUCUUUGUCUUUACAUCCUCGACGGAAUGUUUUGGUUUGCAAUCUGGUUUGAUCGUCUUCCUUGCUGAAGCGCUGCUCCAAAUGAAUGCUUUUUAAGGCCUUGGGAAUCAUCAUCUGUGUUUACCAUGCGAGCGUACUCAAAGCCCAACAUUGGCCUGGCAAUCUGGGCCUACACACAUUUUUCCUGAUUUCCCAUUGUCAUCUACCGGCAGUUCGUUCAAAUUGGUAAAUGAGCGCCUCCCAAGAAAUGGAUCCUCUUCAAUUGAGUUUUUAAAUUUGUGGCAGCUGUGGGCUUCGGCUCCGGUCCCUUGCUCAAAGAUUUUCUUGCCACAUGGUAUAUUCUCUCUCCAGUGAAGAGUCUGAAGAAAGAGGUGUUGUCACACUCUUUUUCUUUCCUCUGCCCUUUCCUGGAUCGGUCAAUAGAGCCAACUUGAUGUUAUGGGAAGCAUAUUAGAGCUCCAGAAGCGGACGAGGUUGUCAUAAUUGGAGUGAUAAAUGUGGGAUUUGCCAUUGACUCGACGGGGAUGAUACCGUAAGUAGGCACUGCAUUCAACAUUGGAGAAACUUGAUAGAAUUCAUUUGCAGCUAAUUGUUUCUGUAAUGGUGUGCUGAUCUAAACCAAAUAUUAUUGACUCAUAGUAGAUGGUUAGUGUGCGUAAGAAGACACAUACGCCUUUUGCUGGUAUCCUUAAUUAGCACUAGAGGUUUAUAGUAUGUUCUUAAAUGGAGAUUGUUGUUGAAUAAUUUGAACUGUCUCAUGCAGGGCCAAGGGCCCUGACAUAGGACUUUUGACUUAAGGCGAAGACACCUUCAACAGAGUUGGCACGGUUUAUGGUUCAUACGAACUACAAUUGUGGAAAGACCCACGGCAUGGAUUUUUGAUGUGUACUUUUGGUAAACUUGCGUUGUACUGGCUAAGGUCAAAUUUUGGCUUAGAUGAUGUGUCCAUUGCAGUAAAAUAUUAACUUCUUUAUUUCGAUUGUCCACUGAUUCAUUCACAACAGAUGCCAAUUGUUGAAAGGUACCCUGUUGUUCAAAUGCACUUUGAAAUAGAACUGUGUCUCCUUCCUCAGUUGUUGUCAGCUUGUCCUUUCGUCUCACACCAAACAUUGAAUAUCUAUUGGUCUGACCAUCAAUUCCGCCAAGCAAUUAUUACUAGCCUUGUGGUCUAUCCUGUCUUCAGACUGCUGAAGUUGCUGAGAUAUUGCUUUCACCUGUUUGUUAUUGAUAUUCAUUGCCACUUUCUGUUCAGCUUGAAACGUAAUGAGACCAACACAUAUUUUAUAUAUUCGCGCUUCGCUCUGUUUUAUAUUGCGGUAAAUAUCAACUGUUCUUUUAGCAUUUGAUUUUCUAUCUGUUAAAUAUUCUUGGUACAAUUGUUUAAUAGUCAUUUCUGAGCUGUCCUCUGUUAAAGCGUCUUCAGCUGUAGGUUUCUCAAUAUCCCCAAGUGAUUUAGUUUCUGUCAUUUCAAUGUUCUUGUCCUUGUUGUCCUCAAUUCCUGCCAUUUCACUGAUAUGUGUUUAACUGAUUCUCAAUUCAGUUUAAUGUCUCAAAUUGCAAAUAUUGCGACCAAGAGAUAAGAUAGGCACUGAAUAAUAUCUUAAGGCAGAAAAAAAAAAAAAAAAUAAAUCCCAAAUUACAGCUUUUAUGUGUGACCCAAGACAACAAAUAGUGUGCAAAAAUAGCUGCAGCUUUUAAUGAAAGCUACUACUGCAGCUUUUUAUGAAAGCUACUACUUUGUGUAUGAAAUGACAAGCAAGGCAAAAUCAGAAAGGACAGAACUAGGACAGAUACCAAAUGAAACUAUACAUCAAUAAAAUGCUUAUAUUCAGGUCAAUUCUCAAUAAUGAAUAUUUGCUUAUUUUUCAAGGCGGCCAUUUUGAAAAUAGCCGCCAUUUUGUAUUUCAAAAAUAGAACAAAACAAAAUCUUGCUAAGUACACCAAGUCAUUCAAAUAUGUUGAUUUUUGUGCACCCAGCACCAAAUCCACUGUGGUUUGUGCAAUACAGGAAAAUAUUUUAGAACGUACGGCAGCCAUCUUGAAAUAGGCCGCCAUAUUGAAUUUUGAGGAUGGGUCCAUAGCUAAUAUUGCUCAGUACACAAAAAUGUACCAUCAUGCAAAAAUUGGUGCUUUCCUCAUUAUUUGAGCAAUUUUUCAACCGAUCGGCCGGACUAUUAAGCUUGACUUUUACUUUAACGUAUGCUAUACUUGGGCCCAUGUAUCUGCAUAUAAUCGAGUAUACCAAGG